GUGCAGCAGGCGCGAAUACUUUACAAUGUGCGAAAGCACGAUAAGGGAACUCUGAGUGCCUCCUAGGGAGGCUGUUCAGGUGUCUAAAAGCACCUGAAGGAAGGGCUGGGUAAGACCGGUGCCAGCCGCCGCGGUAACACCGGCAGCCCAAGUGGUAGCCACGUUUAUUGGGUCUAAAGCGUCCGUAGCCGGCUGGGUAAGUUCCUUGGGAAAUUUGGCUGCUUAACAGUCAAGCUUUCAGGGAAUACUGCCCGGCUUGGGGACCGGGAGAGGUCAGAGGUACUCCAGGGGUAGGGGUGAAAUCCAUUAAUCCUUGGGGGACCACCGGUAGCGAAGGCGUCUGACCAGACCGGGUCCGACGGUGAGGGACGAAGGCUAGGGGCGCGAACCGGAUUAGAUACCCGUGUAGU
RNAcentral lists this ribosomal RNA (410 nucleotides) under uncultured microorganism. Its description in RNAcentral is "bacterial SSU rRNA". It matches the Rfam family "Archaeal small subunit ribosomal RNA", at positions 330 to 745 of the family's 1478-position model. The record is from RNAcentral.